RNAcentral lists this ribosomal RNA (440 nucleotides) under uncultured bacterium. Its description in RNAcentral is "bacterial SSU rRNA". It matches the Rfam family "Bacterial small subunit ribosomal RNA", at positions 338 to 775 of the family's 1533-position model. The record is from RNAcentral.
CCUACGGGUGGCAGCAGUAAGGAAUAUUGGACAAUGGAGGCAACUCUGAUCCAGCCAUGCCGCGUGAAGGAUGAAGGCGCUAUGCGUUGUAAACUUCUUUUGAACGGGAGAAAACCCUCUUACGUGUAAGAGGCUGAUAGUACCGUUAGAAUAAGGGUCGGCUAACUUCGUGCCAGCAGCCGCGGUAAGACGAAGGACCCGAGCGUUAUCCGGAUUCAUUGGGUUUAAAGGGUGCGUAGGCGGAUUGGUAAGUCAGUGGUGAAAGCCCCAGGCUCAACUUGGGAACUGCCAUUGAUACUGCUAAUCUUGAGUGCAUAUGAUGUGGGCGGAAUAUGACAUGUAGUGGUGAAAUACUUAGAUAUGUCAUAGAACACCGAUUGCGAAGGCAGCUCACAAAACUGCAACUGACGCUGAGGCACGAAAGCGUGGGGAUCAAACAG